This 497-nucleotide ribosomal RNA is filed under the name uncultured bacterium. RNAcentral describes it as "partial 16S ribosomal RNA". It matches the Rfam family "Bacterial small subunit ribosomal RNA", at positions 28 to 507 of the family's 1533-position model. The record is from RNAcentral.
GAUGAACGCUGGCGGCGUGCCUAAUACAUGCAAGUCGAGCGAACAGAUAAGGAGCUUGCUCCUUUGACGUUAGCGGCGGACGGGUGAGUAACACGUGGGUAACCUACCUAUAAGACUGGAAUAACUCCGGGAAACCGGGGCUAAUGCCGGAUAACAUGUUGAACCGCAUGGUUCUACAGUGAAAGGCGGCUUUGCUGUCACUUAUAGAUGGACCCGCGCCGUAUUAGCUAGUUGGUGAGGUAACGGCUCACCAAGGCAACGAUACGUAGCCGACCUGAGAGGGUGAUCAGCCACACUGGAACUGAGACACGGUCCAGACUCCUACGGGAGGCAGCAGUAGGGAAUCUUCCGCAAUGGGCGAAAGCCUGACGGAGCAACGCCGCGUGAGUGAUGAAGGUCUUCGGAUCGUGAAGCUCUGUUAUUAGGGAAGAACAAAUGCGUAAGUAACUGUGCGCGUCUUGACGGUACCUAAUCAGAAAGCCACGGCUAACUACGUG